AGAGUUUGAUCCUGGCUCAGGACGAACGCUGGCGGCGUGCUUAACACAUGCAAGUCGAACGAUGAUGCCCAGCUUGCUGGGCGGAUUAGUGGCGAACGGGUGAGUAAUACGUGAGUAACCUGCCCUUGACUCUGGGAUAAGCCUGGGAAACUGGGUCUAAUACUGGAUACUACCUCUUACCGCAUGGUGGGUGGUGGAAAGGGUUUUACUGGUUUUGGAUGGGCUCACGGCCUAUCAGCUUGUUGGUGGGGUAAUGGCUCACCAAGGCGACGACGGGUAGCCGGCCUGAGAGGGUGACCGGCCACACUGGGACUGAGACACGGCCCAGACUCCUACGGGAGGCAGCAGUGGGGAAUAUUGCACAAUGGGCGGAAGCCUGAUGCAGCGACGCCGCGUGAGGGAUGACGGCCUUCGGGUUGUAAACCUCUUUCAGUAGGGAAGAAGCGAGAGUGACGGUACCUGCAGAAGAAGCGCCGGCUAACUACGUGCCAGCAGCCGCGGUAAUACGUAGGGCGCAAGCGUUGUCCGGAAUUAUUGGGCGUAAAGAGCUCGUAGGCGGUUUGUCGCGUCUGCUGUGAAAGCCCGGGGCUCAACCCCGGGUCUGCAGUGGGUACGGGCAGACUAGAGUGCAGUAGGGGAGACCGGAAUUCCUGGUGUAGCGGUGAAAUGCGCAGAUAUCAGGAGGAACACCGAUGGCGAAGGCAGGUCUCUGGGCUGUUACUGACGCUGAGGAGCGAAAGCAUGGGGAGCGAACAGGAUCAGGUACCCUGGUAGUCCAUGCCGUAAACGUUGGGCACUAGGUGUGGGGGACAUUCCACGUUUUCCGCGCCGUAGCUAACGCAUUAAGUGCCCCGCCUGGGGAGUACGGCCGCAAGGCUAAAACUCAAAGGAAUUGACGGGGGCCCGCACAAGCGGCGGAGCAUGCGGAUUAAUUCGAUGCAACGCGAAGAACCUUACCAAGGCUUGACAUUCACCGGACCGCCCCAGAGAUGGGGUUUCCCUUCGGGGCUGGUGGACAGGUGGUGCAUGGUUGUCGUCAGCUCGUGUCGUGAGAUGUUGGGUUAAGUCCCGCAACGAGCGCAACCCUCGUUCUAUGUUGCCAGCACGUGAUGGUGGGGACUCAUAGGAGACUGCCGGGGUCAACUCGGAGGAAGGUGGGGAUGACGUCAAAUCAUCAUGCCCCUUAUGUCUUGGGCUUCACGCAUGCUACAAUGGCCGGUACAAAGGGUUGCGAUACUGUGAGGUGGAGCUAAUCCCAAAAAGCCGGUCUCAGUUCGGAUUGAGGUCUGCAACUCGACCUCAUGAAGUCGGAGUCGCUAGUAAUCGCAGAUCAGCAACGCUGCGGUGAAUACGUUCCCGGGCCUUGUACACACCGCCCGUCAAGUCACGAAAGUUGGUAACACCCGAAGCCGGUGGCCUAACCCCUUGUGGGAGGGAGCCGUCGAAGGUGGGACUGGCGAUUGGGACUAAGUCGUAACAAGGUAACCA
This 1488-nucleotide ribosomal RNA is filed under the name Kocuria sp. 1117D-1. RNAcentral describes it as "bacterial SSU rRNA". It matches the Rfam family "Bacterial small subunit ribosomal RNA". Lineage: Bacteria; Bacillati; Actinomycetota; Actinomycetes; Micrococcales; Micrococcaceae. The record is from RNAcentral.